ACCGCCCUCCCGCGCUGACGGACCCCGGGGGUCCCCGGGGAUCGGACCCGUGGGGGGCUUCCCAGGCCGCCGCCCCACCCCCGCGGGAUGUGGGUGCACUCACGGGCAGGCGCGGCGACACGCGGGCAGACACGCUUGUGCCCCCGCCGCGGGGUGCUUGCACGCCCGCGGACACGCGUGGACACACGCUCGCUGGCGGGCGCGCACAGCGAGGGGGGGCGGCAACACCGCACCCAGCCAGGUACAGGGUACCUUCUGCUGGGAGAAAGGGGAGUAUAUCGAUGUGAGUGGGGAAAAUUCGACUGUGCGUCUAUGCUAGCGCAGAUGAAAAAACCAGCAUGUGUCGGUGCAAAGAAAUGUCGUAUUUGAUAGCCGAUCAAAUUGCUGCAUCGAGCUCCUUGAGCCUUGCGUGAGAGGAAAAGUUUCCAAAAAAAAAAAAAAAAGACACCGAUUUAUUAUUUCGCUCAUGUUACAGAGCAAUACAAUAAACAGUGGGGGUGUGAGAAGCAGGGAAACACAAUAAAGUGCUGUGUCACUUUAACUGUAAAAGGGAAACCAGCCAGCACCCAGAGGUUUACCUCCAACUUUUUGGAACACACUUGGAGCCUACCUCGACUUUCACAGCGGUCCAGCACCAUGAACUUAAACAUGUUUCCUCCAAAAUGUGAAUCAUGGAGUCAGAAAGAAAACAGUGAGAUAUGUUGUUCCCAGAAGUUGUGAUGCUGAGGCUUGCCUUUGGGAAUGUGAUUCACAACCCCAAGUUAGACAUCCAGCUCUUCAUAGAUAAUAUCCUGGAGAACGUGUACAUUCCCCACCACCUUUCCUUUUGAAGUAGUGCUGUGACUCAGAGAGCAGUGCAGGAUUCUGUGGGCAAACAAGAGAAAAGUUUUCUGUGAGGAGUGUUGCUCAACAGUCCUGAAGCGAGAACACUCUGCUCCCAGAGAAGCCUACAGCCUAAGAGACAGGGCACUAAUCUGAGAGAUGGUGGACGCCAUCGCAAUGAAACGAGCAUUGAAGAUUGGUCUCCUAUUUGAGGAUGGAAAACAGAAGACAGAAAAUUAAAUUCUAUGACAGCCUUUCUCAAACAUUUCCUCCAGUUAAACACAUGAGAUGAAUGUGUCUAAUAUCCAAACUUCGUAAACACUGCAGAAACGUACCAGGAAUAUGAAGAUGUAAGCUUGCAGAACUUCUUAGUCUACUCCUUCAACUCUUUUCUGGCAUGGCCCAUCAAUGGUAUGAAAGGCCUCUUUUCUACCAGUAUCUUUGGAAUUAUCCUUCUUAACUCCUUCCAUCCCCACCUGAGGGAGGGGAUCAUUCAUUUCUCAAAAUGAAGGCUCUGUAGCGCACGCAGAUUUCAGUGCUUAUUGGCAGGGUUUGCUGAAAGCAUCCAGCUAAGCACCUGGCUCAGGGCAGAAAAGCUCUGCCCUUUCUCUCUUCCCCAAGAUUUCAGAAGGCAUGGAAGAUGAACUGCAAAACAUGCUGCCUGAAGAAAAUAUUUGACUUUUGUUCUAUAAAAACAUGAAAGAUUAAAAGCAUUUUCUUCAGCAUCGCAAGAAGCCGGAGUCUAGAAUUUGAACUCUCACCACUUGCAGGAUUGUGUUCAGUAGUAGCAUGAAGCUAUCAUACUCAACCCCAGAUGGCAUCUUUGAGAAUAUCUCACUUAAGUUGCUCCUUGCUUUUCAUCUUUUUUUUAUUGCUUCUGUUACAGACUUUUUGCAGUCCCUCAGAGCAAGCAAACAAGGCCAUGGUGUUAUGUGUGCAAGUGAGA
Chroicocephalus ridibundus (black-headed gull) is the source of this 1768-nucleotide long non-coding RNA. RefSeq lists it as uncharacterized. The record is from RefSeq and is a predicted model, not a curated record. The transcript is spliced from 4 exons. Lineage: Eukaryota; Metazoa; Chordata; Aves; Charadriiformes; Laridae.